Molecule: ribosomal RNA, 253 nt
Filed under: uncultured bacterium
Lineage: Bacteria
Description: partial 16S ribosomal RNA
Rfam family: Bacterial small subunit ribosomal RNA
Source: RNAcentral
UACGAAGGGGGCUAGCGUUGUUCGGAAUCACUGGGCGUAAAGCGCACGUAGGCGGAUUGUUAAGUCGGGGGUGAAAUCCUGAGGCUCAACCUCAGAACUGCCUCCGAUACUGGCAAUCUCGAGUUCGGAAGAGGUUGGUGGAACAGCUAGUGUAGAGGUGAAAUUCGUAGAUAUUAGCUAGAACACCAGUGGCAAAGGCGGCCAACUGGUCCGACACUGACGCUGAGGUGCGAAAGCGUGGGGAGCAAACAGG